Molecule: ribosomal RNA, 229 nt
Filed under: uncultured bacterium
Lineage: Bacteria
Description: partial 16S ribosomal RNA
Rfam family: Bacterial small subunit ribosomal RNA
Source: RNAcentral
UAGGGAAUCUUCCACAAUGGACGCAAGUCUGAUGGAGCAACGCCGCGUGAGUGAAGAAGGCUUUCGGGUCGUAAAACUCUGUUAUUGAAGAAGAACGUGUGUGACAGUAACUGGUCAUGCAGUGACGGUAUUCAAUCAGAAAGUCACGGCUAACUACGUGCCAGCAGCCGGCGGUAAUACGUAGGUGGCAAGCGUUGUCCGGAUUUAUUGGGCGUAAAGCGAGUGCAGG